Long non-coding RNA from Photinus pyralis (common eastern firefly), 732 nucleotides. RefSeq lists it as uncharacterized. The transcript has 3 exons. NCBI's taxonomy places the organism in Eukaryota, Metazoa, Arthropoda, Insecta, Coleoptera, Lampyridae. The record is from RefSeq and is a predicted model, not a curated record.
UUCAUUCUGGAAUCGUCUCAAUGGUCUUAAUUCCAACGAAAUAGAAGGUUAAGUUAGAAUUAUUAGCGAGCUCCUAGCGAGUUCAUAAUUUUGCAAUGUCUGUCCGUCUGUCGGUUAGCACGAUAUCUCGAAAACGAAAGGACCGAUUACGAUGAAAUUUUGCAGGUGGAUUCUUUAUCAUAUCUGGAGAUCGGAGUUUAAGGAUUUAAUGGUAAAAUUAUUAUGAAGAUUCUGGAUGAGGCAGGCGAGUGCAAUACGACGAGCUCUCGAUCAGGGCGAAUUGCGAAGCUUUAUUCUUUGGAAUGUUGGAAUGAUGGCACGCUGCAAACCUUUCUCAAUGAGUGGACCACGUGGCUAAGGGAAGUCGCAGGUUCUGCCUAAGUAUAUUUUUGAUGAAACUUCUCGUAGGUUCAAGAUCUUCCUUGUAGUUUCUUGUGCAAAUGGAGACAACAAUUACUGAUUUUAGUUGUGAGUGCUUGGUGAUUUAUGCCUCUUCGCACUCAACUCAAUUUCAAUGGGAUAUACACUCACACGUUACAGUACCCACCUAACGGACCCCUUUUCCUUGAGCUAAUGAAGUCCAAACACGAGGAGACCAAAGAAAUGUUAUUUCUCUCAACCCCUACGCAAUCGGUCCACUACAAAGGGAUUGAAUAUUGGGUGUCCCUUGGAAGGUGUGUCAUCAGCUUGUGGGCUUGUGGGAGUGGGACCAUCUCAGUUGAAACUUGAACG